RNAcentral lists this ribosomal RNA (381 nucleotides) under uncultured marine Chaetocerotaceae. RNAcentral's name for it is "SSU rRNA". It matches the Rfam family "Eukaryotic small subunit ribosomal RNA", at positions 587 to 972 of the family's 1831-position model. The record is from RNAcentral. Lineage: Eukaryota; Bacillariophyta; Thalassiosirophyceae; Chaetocerotales; Chaetocerotaceae.
AGCUCCAAUAGCGUAUAUUAAAGUUGCUGCAGUUAAAAAGCUCGUAGUUGCAUUUCCGAGGCAAGGGAUUAGUCCGACCUUUGGUGGGUAUUUAAUCCUCUUGCCUCGUCCUUGAGUGGUGCUUCUUGGUAUUAAGUUAUCGAGGAGAUAGCCGCUCAUCGUUUACUGUGAGAAAAUUAGAGUGUUCAAAGCAGGCUUAUGCCGUUGAAUAUAUUAGCAUGGAAUAAUAAGAUAGUACCUCGGUACUAUUUGGUUGGUUUGAGAACCAAGGUAAUGAUGAAUAGGGACAGUUGGGGGUAUUCGUAUUCAGUUGUCAGAGGUGAAAUUCUUAGAUUUACGGAAGACGAACUACUGCGAAAGCAUUUACCAAGGAUGUUUUCA